GAUGAACGCUGGCGGCGUGCCUAAUACAUGCAAGUCGAGCGAACGGACGAGAAGCUUCCUUCUCUGCUGUUGCCGCCGGCCGGGUGAGUAACACGUGGAUAACCUACCUAUAAGACUGGGAUAACUUCGGAAAACCGGAGCUAAUACCGGUUAAUAUUUUGUACCGCAUGGUUCAAAAGUGAAAGACGGUCUUGCUGUCACUUAUAGAUGGAUCCGCGCUGCAUUAGCUAGUUGGUAAGGUAACGGCUUACCAAGGCAACGAUGCAUAGCCGACCUGAGAGGGUGAUCGGCCACACUGGAACUGAGACACGGUCCAGACUCCUACGGGAGGCAGCAGUAGGGAAUCUUCCGCAAUGGGCGAAAGCCUGACGGAGCAACGCCGCGUGAGUGAUGAAGGUCUUCGGAUCGUAAAACUCUGUUAUUAGGGAAGAACAAAUGUGUAAGUAACUGUGCACAUCUUGACGGUACCUAAUCAGAAAGCCACGGCUAACUACGUG
Molecule: ribosomal RNA, 497 nt
Filed under: uncultured bacterium
Lineage: Bacteria
Description: partial 16S ribosomal RNA
Rfam family: Bacterial small subunit ribosomal RNA
Source: RNAcentral